UGGGGAAUUUUGGACAAUGGGCGAAAGCCUGAUCCAGCAAUGCCGCGUGAGUGAAGAAGGCCUUCGGGUUGUAAAGCUCUUUUGUCAGGGAAGAAACGGUGAGAGCUAAUAUCUCUUGCUAAUGACGGUACCUGAAGAAUAAGCACCGGCUAACUACGUG
Molecule: ribosomal RNA, 160 nt
Filed under: uncultured bacterium
Lineage: Bacteria
Description: partial 16S ribosomal RNA
Rfam family: Bacterial small subunit ribosomal RNA
Source: RNAcentral